CAGCCGCCGCGGUAAUACGAAGGGGGCUAGCGUUGUUCGGAUUUACUGGGCGUAAAGCGCACGUAGGCGGACUUUUAAGUCAGGUGUGAAAUCCCGGGGCUCAACCCCGGAACUGCCUUUGAUACUGGAAGUCUUGAGUAUGGUAGAGGUGAGUGGAAUUCCGAGUGUAGAGGUGAAAUUCGUAGAUAUUCGGAGGAACACCAGUGGCGAAGGCGGCUCACUGGACCAUUACUGACGCUGAGGUGCGAAAGCGUGGGGAGCAAACAGGAUUAGAUACCCCCGUAGUCCCUGUCUCUUAUAA
RNAcentral lists this ribosomal RNA (301 nucleotides) under uncultured bacterium. RNAcentral's name for it is "partial 16S ribosomal RNA". It matches the Rfam family "Bacterial small subunit ribosomal RNA", at positions 509 to 809 of the family's 1533-position model. The record is from RNAcentral.